Molecule: long non-coding RNA, 287 nt
Organism: Anoplophora glabripennis (Asian longhorned beetle)
Lineage: Eukaryota; Metazoa; Arthropoda; Insecta; Coleoptera; Cerambycidae
Exons: 2
Source: RefSeq, a predicted model, not a curated record
CGCCACUGGAACUACAACUAAUUUAUCAUCGAUGUCAUCACUCAGGCAAAUCGUGAUCAAAUUCAAAUUGAAGGAUCAGUAUUAAGGCCUUAAAUUGUCUAGAAUGGUCUGGAGUGGUCAGUUAUUUUUUCUAAUCAUCGUAUCUGGCUUCUAUACAAUGCAAUGUUGUUCAAGGAUAAAAGAGGAGUUUUAUGUUGCGAUUAAAGGAAACCAUCGUAUUUAAAACUUCAGUUACUGACUAGAUUUAGAAAAUUGUUUCAUACAUUAAAAAAUAUUUCUUGAAUCAA